AAGGGAGACCUAAUUCCGGUAGGAGACGAAAAAAAAGUAGUCCCUACCAAGAAUCAAUCCCAAAAGGUCGAAGCGAGGCAAGAUUGGCUUUCAAACUAGGUUCUGGGUUCAAACAAGACCUGAAUCAGGAACAAGGGCUGUUAGCUCAGGUGGUUAGAGCGCACCCCUGAUAAGGGUGAGGUCCCUGGUUCGAGUCCAGGAUGGCCCACCUGCACAGGUGGCAAAAACAAAGAAGCGAGGAAUCAGCACCUUAUCUUACUCAUAUAGUAAGAGAGAAUGCUGGCUCUGAGUAAAGAGUCCAGAGGAACCUUGAAAACUGCAUAGAGCUAGGUGAAAAAGCCAAAAAAGAAGACCGCAA
This 358-nucleotide transfer RNA is filed under the name uncultured Microcystis sp. RNAcentral's name for it is "partial 16S-23S ribosomal RNA intergenic spacer". The stretch from base 135 to 208 matches the Rfam family "tRNA". Lineage: Bacteria; Bacillati; Cyanobacteriota; Cyanophyceae; Chroococcales; Microcystaceae. The record is from RNAcentral.